This is a long non-coding RNA of Helianthus annuus (common sunflower), 394 nucleotides long. RefSeq lists it as uncharacterized. The transcript is spliced from 4 exons. The record is from RefSeq and is a predicted model, not a curated record. NCBI's taxonomy places the organism in Eukaryota, Viridiplantae, Streptophyta, Magnoliopsida, Asterales, Asteraceae.
UUUGGAUUUUGAAAGGGACAACCAAGAUGAAAAAAAUGUUGUUGUAAUUGUUCAAUUCGGAAAAUACAGGUUCUGGGGAGGGUUUCUUUAUGUUUCAAAUCUCUACACUGUCACUCGCGUGUUGAUCAACGCUGAAAUUGAUGACAUUUUAACUUUUAAGAAGAGGUUCCUUUCAAACAUUACCCCUGAAACGUCUUCCACCUUUUCUGGGUUGAGUGCAUCCAGAAUAAAGGAUCCUACUGAAGAGUAUCUUUCAGAUUUUGAGUUCAGUACUAUUGGAUCUUUAAAUCAAAUCUCGGAGAAAAAGUUUGUAAUUAUUGUCGGAACUAUAAAGAGUUUUGCUUCCGAGGAUUCUUGGUUUUAUAAUGCUUGCAGAAAUUGUAAUCGAGCGGUC